CCCCCUUCUUACCUUUAUCCUGUGAGGGGGGAAGGAGAUCCGUUCUGCCUGGGGGGGGAGGAGAUCUGUUCUGCCAUCGUUCCCUGGUGGUCCAGUGGUGAGAGUGAACUCUAACCUGCAGGCUAGAGUUCACUCUUGCGAGAUCUGAGCGUUGCCGUGGUAACCACGGCAAUGCUCAGAAUCCCGCAAGAGGACCCGGCGGAGCUGCUUGUUAGAGCUCCGCCGGUCCUCUCUCCUGCCUCCCUCCCCAGCCGGCGGCCGCAUCUCCAUGCCUGUGGGCUGGUGAGGGAGAUCUUUGAUCUCCCCACCGGCCUAUGGAUGCACACAGCAGGGCUGGCGCUCGGGUAGCGCUGGCCCUGCAGGGGCUGACAGGGGAGAGUCUGUGAUCUCCCCUGCCGGCCUCAGCCCAUGGCCAUCGCGGCCCACAGGGCAUUUGCCCGGUAUGCCCGAUGGCCAGUCCGGGCCUGGUGCUACCUCACAAAUAAAUACAAACUUCCCAAAUACAUUUAAUAAAGUUUUUAAAUUUCCCUGUUAUUCUUUCAUGCUUUUGGUCCAGUUAGGCUUGCCAGAGCCACCAUGUUCUCUUGGACAAAUGACUUCUUUGUGCUAAUGUGCUUGCAUGCAAACAUGUCAGGACCAUCUACUUUAGGCAAGAAAUCCUUUAUUCAAAAGGGGUCCUAAGGAAAGUUUUCUCUACUUUUUCUCAACCAUUUUCCUCCAUCCUUGCAGCAUAUUAAAUGUCACCACUUAUGUUGUCCAUCAGCACAAAGUAGCAAUAUGGCACGUGUGAAAACAUGUUGGAUGUGGCAGUCCUAGAUCCAACUCUGAUAAAAGUUAAAUAUAAAAAAGUUAUAUAUUUUUUCAUUUAAAGUGGAUCUGAGGCAAAAAUGUUUACAUUAAUCAGAACUCCUCUAUACACAGUGUUUCAUUUUGCAGUUGUGGUUUUGUUUUUUUACAUUGUCUUGGAUCUCAUUAUUUGUGUCAUUAACGACCCUUCCAUUUUUUUUUUCUACUUGCGUCAGUCAUGAAAUGUUACAAUGAGUAAAAAUACACAAUACACAUGAGCAGUCAGUCAGGAAGAUGAGGCCAUAUGCAUUAUGGGAAUUUUAAAGUGUUCUAAAUACAAGAGAGAGGCUAAAUGAAGUUGAAAUCUAAUUUUUAAAACUCUACUUUAAACAAAGGGUUUUAUG
Pelobates cultripes (western spadefoot toad) is the source of this 1190-nucleotide non-coding RNA. The record is from the annotation of a GenBank genome assembly. Lineage: Eukaryota; Metazoa; Chordata; Amphibia; Anura; Pelobatidae.